UUGGUUGAUCCUGCCAGUAGUGUAUGCUUCUCCUAAAGACUAAGCCAUGCAUGCCUAAGAAUAAGAGGAAGCAAUUCUCUCUGAAUCUGCGAACGGCUCCGCAAACCAGUUGUAAACUAUAGCAAGCAAGCCCGGGAUCGGCCUUCACGGGCUGGUUCCGGGUGAUAUGGAUAACCCUGGUAAUUCUGAGGCUAAUACAUGACCGUAAAACCUAGCUGACCGGCUUCGGCUGGGAUGCUGGGGGACGUGUGAUUUGGGCUUGGUAACACCGGGAAGGGGCGCACGUCUAGACCACGCUAUAAAGGUCGGUUUCCCCUUCGGGGGGGGCUGUCCCAGUGGCUCUUGCUGUGUGCUUCUGACCUAUCAACUAGACGGCAGCGUAAGGGACAUGCUAUGGUGACAACGGGUACAGAGGAUUAGGGUUCGAUCCUGGAGAGUGGGCCUGAGAGAUUGCUCAUACUUCUAAGGAAGGCAGCAGGCGCGCAACGUUCCCCUUGGGCNNUGCCCGAGGGCGUUAGGGGACAUAUGAAUGCCUGCCCA
Molecule: ribosomal RNA, 540 nt
Filed under: Lamproderma aeneum
Lineage: Eukaryota; Evosea; Eumycetozoa; Stemonitida; Stemonitidae
Description: SSU rRNA
Rfam family: Eukaryotic small subunit ribosomal RNA
Source: RNAcentral